This 253-nucleotide ribosomal RNA is filed under the name uncultured bacterium. RNAcentral describes it as "partial 16S ribosomal RNA". It matches the Rfam family "Bacterial small subunit ribosomal RNA", at positions 524 to 776 of the family's 1533-position model. The record is from RNAcentral.
UACGGAGGGUGCAAGCGUUAUCCGGAUUCACUGGGUUUAAAGGGAGCGUAGGUGGGUCUGUAAGUCCGUGGUGAAAUCUCCGAGCUUAACUUGGAAACUGCCAUGGAUACUAUAGGUCUUGAAUAUUGUGGAGGUCAGCGGAAUAUGUCAUGUAGCGGUGAAAUGCUUAGAGAUGACAUAGAACACCAAUUGCGAAGGCAGCUGGCUACGCAUAUAUUGACACUGAGGCUCGAAAGCGUGGGGAUCAAACAGG